AUUCCUGGUAUGUAGCUCCUUGGUCUCUUUUCUCUCUCACUGUGACUUGGAAUCUCACUUUCCUUUCAAAAGGCCAAUUCCCCAGGAAUCAGCCUCUGCCCAUGACCCAAGAGCUGCCGUGUUUUAUUUUAUACCAUCUGAAGGAAAGCGGAGUCAGAGAGCCCCUUACUGACUCUACCCUUCAAAUUGUGGGGCUCUUUUUCCUUCCUGAGUGUUUAGGUUGUGCUGUUCCUAGACCUCGGCCAUAAUACAAGAGAGGAUUUGUUUCAAGCAAUGCUGAUAGGUCUUGCUGGCUACCUGAGUGGAUAUGAUGGUACCUUUUUGUUCCAGAAGCCUGGGGAUAAAUAUGAGCAUCACAGCUACAUGGGAAUGAGAGGAGUAAGGCUUCCUGACUUGAAAUGGACUGACUGAACCCUGGGGCCACACUAAACCAGAAAUGUUAUAGUUAGCAGCCCUGGCGUGGUGGCAGUUCUGUGCAUUCCUCGGCUCCUGGCUGGUCCCCUUUGCCUACCUCACUGUACUGGAUCUGUCCAAGUCCCUCUCGGCAGCACUGCUCACAGCUGCCCUCCUCACCUUUGACACGGGAUGCCUCACUCUGUCCCAGUACAUCCUCCUUGACCCCAUCCUGAUGUUCUUCAUCAUGGCUGCCAUGCUGAGCAUGGUCAAGUACAACUCUUGCGCCGACAGG
This 688-nucleotide small RNA is filed under the name Pan troglodytes (chimpanzee). RNAcentral's name for it is "processed transcript". Lineage: Eukaryota; Metazoa; Chordata; Mammalia; Primates; Hominidae. The record is from RNAcentral.